CCUACGGGUGGCUGCAGUGAGGAAUAUUGGUCAAUGGGCACGAGCCUGAACCAGCCAAGUAGCGUGAAGGAUGACUGCCCUACGGGGUGUAAACUUCUUUUAUAAAGGAAUAAAGUGAGGCACGUGUGCCUUUUUGUAUGUACGGUAUGAAUAAGGAGCGGCUAACUCCGUGCCAGCAGCCGCGGUAAUACGGAGGAUCCGAGCGUUAUCCGGAUUUAUUGGGUUUAAAGGGAGCGUAGAUGGGUUGUUAAGUCAGUUGUGAAAGUUUGCGGCUCAACCGUAAAAUUGCACUUGAUACUGGCAGUCUUGAGUCCAGUUGAGGUCGGCGGCAUUCGUUGUGUAGCGG
Molecule: ribosomal RNA, 346 nt
Filed under: uncultured bacterium
Lineage: Bacteria
Description: partial 16S ribosomal RNA
Rfam family: Bacterial small subunit ribosomal RNA
Source: RNAcentral